RNAcentral lists this ribosomal RNA (263 nucleotides) under uncultured bacterium. RNAcentral describes it as "partial 16S ribosomal RNA". It matches the Rfam family "Bacterial small subunit ribosomal RNA", at positions 336 to 616 of the family's 1533-position model. The record is from RNAcentral.
UUCCUACGGGGGGCAGCAGUGGGGAAUAUUGCACAAUGGGGGAAACCCUGAUGCAGCGACGCCGCGUGAGUGAAAAAGUAUUUCGGGAUGUAAAGCUCUAUCAGCAGGGAAGAUAAUGACGGUACCUGAGUAAGAAGCCCCGGCUAACUACGUGCCAGCAGCCGCGGUAAUACGUAGGGGGCAAGCGUUAUCCGGAUUUACUGGGUGUAAAGGGAGCGUAGACGGCAUGGCAAGGCUGAAGUGAAAGCCCGGGGCUCAACCGC